RNAcentral lists this small RNA (341 nucleotides) under Pan troglodytes (chimpanzee). RNAcentral describes it as "processed transcript". The record is from RNAcentral. Lineage: Eukaryota; Metazoa; Chordata; Mammalia; Primates; Hominidae.
UGAUCGGUGCCAGAAAAUUUGUGACCAGUGGGACCGACUGGGAACGCUUACUCAGAAGAGGAGAGAAGCCCUAGAGGUUGUCUAGUGAAAGGAACCUCUAAAGAAAACGUGAAAAGUGGAAGAAAGAGGGAAAUGGGAAGUUGGGAGCUUUGUGCUGUAAUUUAUCCAGACAGCAGCGAAGUAUAUUUUUCAAUUUUAAAAAAUCCAGGGGUGAUGAGAUUACGGCAUAAAUCUACUUUGUAUCUGGUAGUAACAGUACGUUUCCAAAAGUCCUUCUACCUGAGUAAAUUGAGCUGUGAGUGAGUCGGGAAAUCAGAGAUGUGUAAAGGGAAGAUGGAACC